Molecule: transfer RNA, 58 nt
Filed under: Pelodiscus sinensis (Chinese soft-shelled turtle)
Lineage: Eukaryota; Metazoa; Chordata; Testudines; Trionychidae
Rfam family: tRNA
About the family: Transfer RNA (tRNA) molecules are approximately 80 nucleotides in length. Their secondary structure includes four short double-helical elements and three loops (D, anti-codon, and T loops).
Source: Rfam by way of RNAcentral
UAGCUCAGUGGUUUGAGCAUUGGCCUGCUAAACCUAAGGUUGUGAGUUCAAUCCUUAU